This 26-nucleotide non-coding RNA is filed under the name Bombyx mori (domestic silkworm). The record is from RNAcentral. Lineage: Eukaryota; Metazoa; Arthropoda; Insecta; Lepidoptera; Bombycidae.
ACGCUAGUAGCUGAUUUGACUUCCUU